Molecule: non-coding RNA, 1181 nt
Organism: Pelobates cultripes (western spadefoot toad)
Lineage: Eukaryota; Metazoa; Chordata; Amphibia; Anura; Pelobatidae
Source: the annotation of a GenBank genome assembly
UUCCCAUGUAUUUUUUAUUGAAGGUUUUCCAAAAGUUUAAAUCAGUACUUAGUUGCCUCUUAAUGUAUACAAUCAAGUAGUUAGUGAGUUACGAGGUAAUACAAUCGUACUCUAAAGUCGUACAAUAACAACAUCCGCUUCUAUUUAUAAUUCAACAUAUUGACGUAGAUAGUUUACCUUCAUUUAGGUCUAUGUUAACAACUCAAAUCAACUCAACAAAGGUAUAUACACAAACAAGUAGGCAGGCAAACCAAGUUAUGUCAGAUCCGGUAAUUUCUGUAUACUCCGUUCCCUCCAUGUCUAUACAAAUCCCUGUCUAUGUUUCCAUGGGCUAUCUAGGUCCCCCUUGGCCCCUCUCCACUCCUCUCACCGUCCAGGGUGACUUUUCUCCCCAUACCAUGCCUCCCAAAUCUCUAAAAUUUUCCGUGGCCUUAGCGGUGUCGGUGGACCUUUUCUCGUAUACAUAAAAUUGUUGUAUUUUGUCUGUCAAUUGUUGUAUGGUUGGGAAACUAUGUUUUUUCCAAUUUAGUGCUAUUAGGUUUCUAGCAGCCAUUAGAACUAUCAAAAUUAAUUGUUUGUGGUUCUGCUGCGUUGUUCUGGGGAAUAACAGGAGUAAGCAGGUCGUUAUGUUCAUGGGGAAAUCCCUAACUCCCAGGUCCCUUAAUAAAUUCUUAACAUCUCCCCAGAGAGGUUGUAUACCGCUGCAUUGCCACCAUAUGUAUGGUAUAGAUCCCUCUUCCAUUUUUUAAUCCCAUUUAGGGCUUCAUCCAUUCGUCAUCUGUCAAUUCUUUCCGUCUCUCGUUCUCCCAGUUCUGUUUACAUGCUAAUGGUUUUCGGGGUGUUAAUUCUAGCCAUGCUUUAUAGCAGAGUGAGAGGGCUUUGGGUUUCGUCAGAGCUGCCCAGCAUCUGUGGGGUAUAAGUCUUGCUGCUACUGUGGUUGUAGGCAUGGUGGAUGGCGUGUUUUUGACAUGUGUGUUUAUCGCAUUUUUUAGUUGUAAGUAAGGGAAGAUAUCCCUCACUGGUACCCCCCAUUUAUCCCUUAUAUCCGGGAAACUCAUGAUUGAUUGUUCUCUGCACAGCUGUUGGAUUUGGGAUAUACCUAGGUGUGACCAUCUGGCUAGGGGGAUCGUGGGGUUCACUGCGUGGAGUGCAUUUAGGGGAGCUUCAGGGUGGAAGUGUUU